AUUAAACGCUGGCGGCAUGCCUUACACAUGCAAGUCGAACGGCAGCACGGGGGCAACCCUGGUGGCGAGUGGCGAACGGGUGAGUAAAGCAUCGGAACGUGCCCUGGAGUGGGGGGAUAACGUAGCGAAAGUUACGCUAAUACCGCAUAUUCUGUGAGCAGGAAAGCAGGGGGAUCGCAAGACCUUGCGCUCUGGGAGCGGCCGAUGUCGGAUUAGCUAGUUGGUGGGGUAAAGGCCUACCAAGGCGACGAUCCGUAGCGGGUCUGAGAGGAUGAUCCGCCACACUGGGACUGAGACACGGCCCAGACUCCUACGGGAGGCAGCAGUGGGGAAUUUUGGACAAUGGGCGAAAGCCUGAUCCAGCCAUGCCGCGUGAGUGAAGAAGGCCUUCGGGUU
This 396-nucleotide ribosomal RNA is filed under the name uncultured bacterium. RNAcentral describes it as "bacterial SSU rRNA". It matches the Rfam family "Bacterial small subunit ribosomal RNA", at positions 29 to 424 of the family's 1533-position model. The record is from RNAcentral.